Molecule: ribosomal RNA, 381 nt
Filed under: uncultured bacterium
Lineage: Bacteria
Description: bacterial SSU rRNA
Rfam family: Bacterial small subunit ribosomal RNA
Source: RNAcentral
AUUGAACGCUGGCGGCAUGCCUUACACAUGCAAGUCGAACGGCAGCACGGGAGCAAUCCUGGUGGCGAGUGGCGAACGGGUGAGUAAUAUAUCGGAACGUGCCCAGUCGUGGGGGAUAACGUAGCGAAAGCCACGCUAAUACCGCAUACGAUCUAUGGAUGAAAGCGGGGGAUCGCAAGACCUCGCGCGAUUGGAGCGGCCGAUAUCAGAUUAGGUAGUUGGUGAGGUAAAGGCUCACCAAGCCGACGAUCUGUAGCUGGUCUGAGAGGACGACCAGCCACACUGGGACUGAGACACGGCCCAGACUCCUACGGAGGCAGCAGUGGGGGAAUUUUUGGACAAUGGGCGCAAGCCUGAUCCAGCAAUGCCGCGUGCAGGAUG